GACGAACGCUGGCGGCGCGCCUAACACAUGCAAGUCGAACGGAGUUGAGAGGAGCUUGCUUUUCUUAACUUAGUGGCGAACGGGUGAGUAACGCGUGAGUAACCUGCCCUGGAGUGGGGGACAACAGUUGGAAACGACUGCUAAUACCGCAUAAGCCCACGGUACCGCAUGGUACUGGGGGAAAAGGAUCAAUUCGCUUCAGGAUGGACUCGCGUCCAAUUAGCUAGUUGGUGAGGUAACGGCCCACCAAGGCGACGAUUGGUAGCCGGACUGAGAGGUUGAACGGCCACAUUGGGACUGAGACACGGCCCAGACUCCUACGGGAGGCAGCAGUGGGGGAUAUUGCACAAUGGGGGAAACCCUGAUGCAGCGACGCCGCGUGGAGGAAGAAGGUUUUCGGAUUGUAAACUCCUGUCGUUAGGGACGAUAAUGACGGUACCUAACAAGAAAGCACCGGCUAACUACGUG
RNAcentral lists this ribosomal RNA (468 nucleotides) under uncultured bacterium. RNAcentral's name for it is "bacterial SSU rRNA". It matches the Rfam family "Bacterial small subunit ribosomal RNA", at positions 28 to 507 of the family's 1533-position model. The record is from RNAcentral.